UAGAGACAUUUGGGGUGCUGUGACAGCUGAGAAUAUACCCAUGGAACCUGAUACAGUUAAUACUGGCGAAGGAAAAUGUAGUAAAUAUUGU
Aerococcus viridans is the source of this 91-nucleotide non-coding RNA. The record is from Rfam. NCBI's taxonomy places the organism in Bacteria, Bacillati, Bacillota, Bacilli, Lactobacillales, Aerococcaceae.